Long non-coding RNA from Morone saxatilis (striped sea-bass), 2724 nucleotides. RefSeq lists it as uncharacterized. The transcript is spliced from 2 exons. The record is from RefSeq and is a predicted model, not a curated record. NCBI's taxonomy places the organism in Eukaryota, Metazoa, Chordata, Actinopteri, Moronidae.
UUAGUAGAUGGAGUCAUAUCGCUGAUGCUACUGCUGCCCAGAGGGAUCUGCUACAGGUUGACAGAGGAGGGGAUCCUGGGAAGGACAGAACAACAAACAUCGCAAUCCACUUUUGUGACACCUGAGAAGCAGCAGCCUGCUGUUCUUUUCCGUAACAGGCUUGGCUGGUGUGAAGAUACAGAGCCACCCUGCAGUCUGGAUGAAUGUCUCUUGGUUCGGCCAUCUAGCUCCAUAAAGCUGCAGAGGUGAAAGAUCACUUUAGCACCCAGCAUGCCCACCCUGAGCCGCCGGUCCAGAUUCCUGCUUGGAUUAGUUCAGGUUGCUGGCUUCAGCAGCAAGAGAGAACACGGCAACAUGCUAGAAAAACACAGGAUACACCAAGCCUUUGGACAAAGAUAUAUCCAUGUCACUUUUAUGAUGGGGUGCAUAUUUUGAUUCUGGUGAGUUUGAACCGGCCGUAUGUGUGAAUGGGCUACAGUUACCUGUGGACACCCGAAGUAAACCUAAUGUGUUGCGUAGGCUGUCAACCUUGCCCUGUUCUCCUCCCACCACAGGUGACUGCACCCACAUUACAAAGGUUUACCAUGUUAAAUGAUCCUGGAAUGAUUGAUUUGUGGAAAACACUUUCCCGGUCUCUAGCCAGUUGGAACCGGUUAAAACCAACGUAGACUAGGAAAUGAAAAUUAGGCACAGAAUCAAGUGUCAACGGAGCUGCUGUGAGAAAGAGAGCUAUCACAUGAUGUAGUUGUGCUGAUUACCAUCUAAGGAUUACUCUAGGUAUGGUAAUGUUCGCCUGUUGGUCCAGACUUAAAUAACUCAACAAAUACUAGAUCGCCUUUAUCAAAUUCAUUAUAGCCCAUCUAGGCCACAUGACAUAUGAUCAUGGGAGAAAGGCAGGUUUUGGUUUAUUAUACUUUAUAAUUUCAAUUUCAUGGUAUGUUGUCAUGUUUCAGGAUCCUGAAAAUCACUAUACAAGAAAUGCAUUUAGUGUGGUGGUGAUGCAGAUGUACUUGGACUGUGAAUGAACUUGACACUGAAAAGCUUCUGAAUUCCAAACAGGACAACCAAAGGACAGUUCCUUUUCAAACUUUCUUAUUCGUUGUUCUAUUACUUUCCCACCUUGAGAAGCUGAAUCUGCUUUUUUAUUUUUAUUUGACGUAAAGAUCAGGUGGUCAAAGUUAUUACAAUCCAUCUUUUGGGAACCAUGAAUGUCUGUCCCUAAUUUCAUGGCCAUCUAUUGUGUAGCUGUGCAGACAACAACAGACUGUAAACCAAAAAUGUGAAUAAGUGAAAAGUUUGACCUGCCUGUGGCACUAGAAGAAAGGUCAGGUGAUCCUUUAAAUAAUUAGAAAUUCUCCUCAAGGGAGGAGACCUUUUAAAACCUUUGGCAAUUAUGGCAAUCUAUUAUUUCAGUCAGACAUUACAUGGUCAUGAGCCACGGUAGUAAGACGACAAUAAAACAUGAAGUCUUGCCAGUGCUGAAGUGUAUAAAAGCCAGAGACAUCAGUUUAAUAUGAGCAAUGUAUACUUUUCCCAUUAAGCUGGAGCUUAAACUCUUCAGCUGCCUCAGCGCACAUGCAACACAUCACUAAAUGUAAUCAACAGAUAUUCCUCCUUUAUAAGAAACAUAUUAACAUUUUUGCCUUCCUCACAUAGGGUGUGAGCUUUUAUGGUGCGAAUUUAUUUAAGGCACAAACAUUUUUUAUCAGCUAGCGUAGGAGGUGGGUGGGACCUCAUGAUUCCCACAAGGAGACAUUCCACUGAAAGAAAAAGAUAAACUAAAUUCAGAACCUGUUAGGCUCCAAAUUCAGCGUGUACAUCAUAUCACAGCCUCCUGUUAGGAAAAAAAAAGAUCAAAGAACAGACUGAUUGUUAUUUGCAACAGUCCUGAAGUCUACAGUGCUUAUCAAUGUGAAACUCUCAUAGUUCUCCCAUUACAAAUGAGUAGCAUAUGCUAUUCAUAGAACUGACAAAAGUCGACAGACAUCGUCAUCUCAAGAGCUUUAAUCAUACAUAGAAAUUUAGUUCAACAGUACCAUUCAAUUAGAAUGUUUUAGCAGUAUGUAUAUUUAGUGUAAAGAGCAUUGUUUUUUUUUUCCUUUUUCUGAUGAGGAAUAUCCACAAGGAUGAUAGAAGCUUUCAGAAAUACACCAGAGAUUGAGAGAGAGAGAGAAGAGCAGAAAAGAGACUGAGUACAUGACUAAGUUGUAACACCUCAGACUACAUUUUUUAAACACCUCAAAAGGCGACAUUUAUCUGUGGUUUAUGUACCAGUGUCCAUCCUACUUGAUGCUUUUUUUUCCCCUUUUCUUUUCAUUUUAGCUGAGGAGCAGCAGAGCCUUGAAUGCUUUCAGAAACUAAAACAACUGGCGCGAGCUCGGUUUGAUCAAUGCCCUAUGAUGCAGAAACUCCUAGCAGUUUAUAUGACACCUCCUGUUGACCUAAUCAAAGUGGUGGGUCGGGUUGUUGACACUGCUUCAGAGACAGGCGGGGUGGGGUGAGCAUGAGUGGAGGACAUUACUGCAAUCGAGUGUCAUAUUAUAGGCAUGAAAAGAAUCAACCACAUCCAUCUAUGAAUUCAUCCAUUUCUCUAUCCAUACAUCCAUCCAUCGAUCCAAACAUCCAACCUAUCAGAAAACACCACCAUGAAACAUUGUAUGUGCUGUUUGUGCUAUCUUAGAAGCGCCACAACAACAAUUCCAACCAGCUAAAGUCCCAAGCAAA